RNAcentral lists this ribosomal RNA (381 nucleotides) under Iberus gualtieranus alonensis. Its description in RNAcentral is "partial 16S ribosomal RNA". It matches the Rfam family "Archaeal large subunit ribosomal RNA", at positions 1947 to 2665 of the family's 2987-position model. Lineage: Eukaryota; Metazoa; Mollusca; Gastropoda; Stylommatophora; Helicidae. The record is from RNAcentral.
ACUUCUGCUCCAUGAGAUUUUAAAUAGCCGCAGUACUCUGACUGUGCAAAGGUAGCAUAAUCAAUUGGCUUUUAAUUAGAGUCUGGUAUGAAUGAACGUAUGGGUUACAGCUGUCUUAGGAUAUUAAUUUGAAUUUGGAUGUAAGUGCAAAUCCUUAUAUAAAUAAAAAAGACGAGAAGACCCUAGAAGCUUAUAUUAAUAUUUUGUUGGGGCGACAGAAUUACAUCUAACUAAUUCUUUAGGAACGGGACGUAGAACUGAUAGAAUAAGCUACUCUAGGGAUAACAGCAUAAUUUUUCUGCUUGUGACCUCGAUGUUGGACUAGGUAAGUUAUCCUUUAGAAGAGGGUAUGGUAGCUCUGUUCGAGCAAUUUCGCAACCU